RNAcentral lists this ribosomal RNA (468 nucleotides) under uncultured bacterium. RNAcentral describes it as "partial 16S ribosomal RNA". It matches the Rfam family "Bacterial small subunit ribosomal RNA", at positions 28 to 507 of the family's 1533-position model. The record is from RNAcentral.
GACGAACGCUGGCGGCGUGCUUAACACAUGCAAGUCGAACGGAAAGGCCCUGCUUUUGUGGGGUGCUCGAGUGGCGAACGGGUGAGUAACACGUGAGUAACCUGCCCUUGACUUUGGGAUAACUUCAGGAAACUGGGGCUAAUACCGGAUAGGAGCUCCUGCUGCAUGGUGGGGGUUGGAAAGUUUCGGCGGUUGGGGAUGGACUCGCGGCUUAUCAGCUUGUUGGUGGGGUAGUGGCUUACCAAGGCUUUGACGGGUAGCCGGCCUGAGAGGGUGACCGGCCACAUUGGGACUGAGAUACGGCCCAGACUACUACGGGAGGCAGCAGUAGGGAAUAAUGCACAAUGGGCGGAAGCCUGAUGCAGCAACGCCGCGUGCGGGAUGACGGCCUUCGGGUUGUAAACCGCUUUCGCCUGUGACGAAGCGUGAGUGACGGUAAUGGGUAAAGAAGCACCGGCUAACUACGUG